ACUCCUACGGGAGGCAGCAGUGGGGAAUAUUGCACAAUGGGGGAAACCCUGAUGCAGCCAUGCCGCGUGUGUGAAGAAGGCCUUCGGGUUGUAAAGCACUUUCAGUAGGGAGGAAGGUAGUGUAGUUAACACCUGCAUUAUUUGACGUUACCUACAGAAGAAGCACCGGCUAACUCCGUGCCAGCAGCCGCGGUAAUACGGAGGGUGCGAGCGUUAAUCGGAAUUACUGGGCGUAAAGCGCAUGCAGGCGGCCUGUUAAGUCAGAUGUGAAAGCCCGGGGCUUAACCUCGGAAUUGCAUUUGAAACUGGCAGGCUAGAGUCUUGUAGAGGGGGGUAGAAUUUCAGGUGUAGCGGUGAAAUGCGUAGAGAUCUGAAGGAAUACCAGUGGCGAAGGCGGCCCCCUGGACAAAGCUGACGCUCAGAUGCGAAAGCGUGGGGAGCAAACAGGAUUAGAUACCCUGGUAGGAUAGCG
RNAcentral lists this ribosomal RNA (472 nucleotides) under uncultured bacterium. RNAcentral describes it as "bacterial SSU rRNA". It matches the Rfam family "Bacterial small subunit ribosomal RNA", at positions 335 to 799 of the family's 1533-position model. The record is from RNAcentral.